Molecule: non-coding RNA, 1346 nt
Organism: Paramuricea clavata
Lineage: Eukaryota; Metazoa; Cnidaria; Anthozoa; Malacalcyonacea; Plexauridae
Source: the annotation of a GenBank genome assembly
GAAAUUGAAAAUUUGAAAUGGAAGCACUAGCCUGAUGUUUUUCGCAGAAUCUCAAUCAGAGAUAUAUUUGCCACAGCUGUAUUUCGCUGAUUUUCCCGUGUCAUACUUUUUGUCCUCAACAUUUCGUUAUUGUAGUAUUGUUUUCAAAGUAUUAAGUUGUACAGAGUCAAUUGUAUUCAUUGGAUGCACAAAGAGAAAAGAACGCUGGUAAGUAGAUCAAGCGUCAUUUAGGCUAGACUGCAAUUUAGCGGCCGUGAAUGUGAGGGUUUUACUAUUUAUACUGUAAGAUAUCAUGACAGUAGACACCGGGGUUACAUGGAUAUUCCGGUGAUUCCAUACGGAAAGUAAAUGGAACAAGCAUAUUUCGACUGCCCAACCGGAAAUUUUCCGGAAUGAACGGUUUGUUUGAAAAGGUUGUCCUCUCAUACCGAUUGGAACGUUUCAACCGGUAAAUUUUGUUCCAUUUACAUCUUUUUUAUUUUUUCACCAGUUCCAGGCUCUUCUCGAUUUAACAAACUUGGAAUUAUAAAAUACUUCAGUGCCUUCCGGUCAGUCACUCGAAAUGGAAAGUGCAUAAUCCGAAUGGGAUUUUCUAUCCGAAAUUUUGCUUACCAUUAGCACAAUUUCAAACCGGAUGGGUUUUCCAUGUAAAUGGUAAACAACCCUGAUCACAGAGUAGAGACAUACAGAAGGUUGACUUCUUGGUAAUGGUUUUGCCUACAGGGCCUUUUGUAAGAAUUGUUCCUGGGGGGGGGGGGGCAUUUGAGGGGGAUAGCAAUGGCACGUGUGUGGCCAACAUACCAUACAUGAAUGGGGGGUCUGGGGGUGAACUCCCCCAGAAAAUUUUUGAAAUUUGAAGCACGGAAAUGCCAUUUCCUGCAUUCUGAGCAUCCAAAUUUGCUCCAAAAUUUAUGCUAACUAUACUUGUAUUUGAAAUAAAAGAAGGAAAAAAUGCACAAAAAGUAAAAAAGAAUAUUAACCGUAAUUUAUCAUUACUUAUUAGAGGGGGAUACUUUUUGAAAUUUGAGACCCGGAAAUACUAUUUCCUGCAUUCUGAGCAUCCAAAAAAUAAAAAAAAUUAUUAACAAUAAUUUAUCAUUACUUUGUGGUAGAAAAACAUAACAAUUUAAAUCGAUUUUGUUAAACAAGGACAAAGGAUAAAGUCCAAAACUUACCUUCCAUUUAUCUAUUUGUUAUUCUUCGCUGGUUUGUUUGUAUAAUUUUAGGAAAAAGGGAUUUUUCCUAGGGGGAGAGAAAUGUGAUUUCAUGGGGCACACAAGGGGGGACUGGGGGGCAUUUGCCCUGUUUGCCUAUGAUUUUGGCAUAACCGUUGCAAUGCUGUUGCC